UAGAGGUUUCUUUCAUAGCUACUAUUUUUGUAAUUUGGAGUCAUCUGCAUUCAAUCAUAUGUACUUUUUGCUGCUGCUUCUCCUUCUUCUUCUUCUAUUUUUCCAAAUAAAUAAAAUACAUUUAAUAAAAAACUCAAGGAAAAAUGAAUUUAAAUAUUUAAUCCAUUUCCAAUACAGGAAAAGUUUGUGGACACUUGUUGCAAUCUGUGAAUUCUGAUAAGGGGGUGUUAAGAAGUGCAGUUGCAGGGCUUAGAGUUUU
RNAcentral lists this long non-coding RNA (259 nucleotides) under Manihot esculenta (cassava). RNAcentral's name for it is "long non-coding RNA (MESC_LNC006930)". Lineage: Eukaryota; Viridiplantae; Streptophyta; Magnoliopsida; Malpighiales; Euphorbiaceae. The record is from RNAcentral.